This is a non-coding RNA of Lupinus albus (white lupine), 128 nucleotides long. NCBI's taxonomy places the organism in Eukaryota, Viridiplantae, Streptophyta, Magnoliopsida, Fabales, Fabaceae. The record is from the annotation of a GenBank genome assembly.
AAAUGCAUUACAGGGCAAGUUCUCUUUGGCAGUUUUCCACUAUUAUAUAUGCAUGCAUCUCAACCAUGCAUCAAAUAAUUAUUUUUAGCGUGUAACCUGCCAAAGGAGAUUUGUCCAGUGAUUAUCUU